RNAcentral lists this ribosomal RNA (460 nucleotides) under uncultured bacterium. Its description in RNAcentral is "partial 16S ribosomal RNA". It matches the Rfam family "Bacterial small subunit ribosomal RNA", at positions 338 to 795 of the family's 1533-position model. The record is from RNAcentral.
CCUACGGGUGGCAGCAGUGAGGAAUAUUGGUCAAUGGACGAGAGUCUGAACCAGCCAAGUAGCGUGAAGGAUGACUGCCCUAUGGGUUGUAAACUUCUUUUAUAUGGGAAUAAAAUGUUCCACGUGUGGGAUUUUGUAUGUACCAUUUGAAUAAGGAUCGGCUAACUCCGUGCCAGCAGCCGCGGUAAUACGGAGGGUCCGAGCGUUAUCCGGAUUUAUUGGGGUUAAAGGGAGGGGAGGUGGAUUGUUAAGUCAGUUGUGAAAGUUUGCGGCUCAACCGUAAAAUUGCAGUUGAAACUGGCAGUCUUGAGUACAGUAGAGGUGGGUGGAAUUCGUGGUGUAGCGGUGAAAUGCUUAGAUAUCACGAAGAACUCCGAUUGCGAAGGCAGUUCACUGGACUGCAACUGACACUGAGGCUCGAAAGUGUGGGUAUCAAACAGGAUUAGAUACCCCUGUAGUC